UACGUAGGUCCCGAGCGUUGUCCGGAUUUAUUGGGCGUAAAGCGAGCGCAGGUGGUUUAUUAAGUCUGGUGUAAAAGGCAGUGGCUCAACCAUUGUAUGCAUUGGAAACUGGUAGACUUGAGUGCAGGAGAGGAGAGUGGAAUUCCAUGUGUAGCGGUGAAAUGCGUAGAUAUAUGGAGGGACACCGGUGGCGAAAGCGGCUCUCUGGCCUGUAACUGACACUGAGGCUCGAAAGCGUGGGAAGCAAACAGG
Molecule: ribosomal RNA, 252 nt
Filed under: uncultured bacterium
Lineage: Bacteria
Description: partial 16S ribosomal RNA
Rfam family: Bacterial small subunit ribosomal RNA
Source: RNAcentral